RNAcentral lists this ribosomal RNA (347 nucleotides) under uncultured eukaryote. RNAcentral describes it as "SSU rRNA". It matches the Rfam family "Eukaryotic small subunit ribosomal RNA", at positions 594 to 945 of the family's 1831-position model. The record is from RNAcentral.
AUAGCGUAUAUUAAAGUUGUUGCAGUUAAAAAGCUCGUAGUUGAAUUUUGGACCUGGCUGGGUGGUCUUUCCGCAAGGUUAGCACUGCUCUGGUCGGGUCUUUCCUUCUGGGGAACCUGUGUGCUCUUAAUUGAGUGCGCAGGGGAGCCAGGACUUUUACUUUGAAAAAAUUAGAGUGUUUAAAGCAGGCUUACGCCUGAAUACAUUAGCAUGGAAUAAUAGAAUAGGACUUUGGUUCUAUUUUGUUGGUUUCUAGGACCGAAGUAAUGAUUAAUAGGGAUAGUUGGGGGCAUUAGUAUUUAAUUGUCAGAGGUGAAAUUCUUGGAUUUAUGAAAGACUAACUUCUG